GGCCCGCGCUGCGCCAGCACCACCUGCGGAGCUGCGGUGCCCACGCCGUGCCGCGACCCCGCCGCCCCUGCUCCCUCCACACGCGGGCAAACAAAACAAGUUGCCGGUCGCUGCCGCCGGAGGGGGCCGGGCGGGUCACUCACCCUCAUCCUGCUCAGCGGGCUUGGGUCGUCCGGCCGCGGGGUCAGGGAAGACCAGAGGACCACUAGCCCCAGGAAGCUUCCCACCACCAGCAAACUGCGUGGUGAAUUUGUAACCGAAAGGCCCAGGUGAGAUGUGCAAAUAUCACUGGAUUGGAGGAGCUCACUUGGAAAGCCAGUAUUCCUCCUGAGCUAAUGAAAAGAAAGGCUGUCGUCUUAUGCCAAAAGCAAUACCAACCUUGUUCACGGGCUGAGAUCUAGAGUGUGUAAUUCACGAAGUAUGAAUCUGCUGGGUAAUGUGAUAUGAAAAGCGAAUGCACCAUUUCUUGGUGAUGAUUCAGGUCAGCGUUGGGACCCAGGAAUCUCCUGUUAAUCAGUACCCUGGUGAUUUUGAUCCAGGUCAUCAAGACCAUGGCUUCCAUCGUAGGCAGUCACACUCUUUCUCUCUUGGAUCAUUUGCUGUGGGGAAGCAAACUGUCAUAUGAGAGGACACUCAAACAGCCUCUGGAGUCUCAUUUGCUAAGGAACUGAGGACUCCAGCCUGAGAACUCAGGCAAGUAACUGAGGCCUGCCAACAACCAUGGAGAAAGCCUGGAAGUGGAUCCUCCCUCAGCCUUCAGUCGAGACAACAGCUGCAAUGACAGCCAAGCCAGCGCCACCCAGCUUAGCCACCCCCAGAGAACUAACUCUCAGAAACCAUAGUGGGUACAGAGGAAAGGCCCUAUGAGGAUACAGCAAGAAGGCAGCCAUCUGCAAGUCAGGAAGAGACCUAUCAUCAGAAACCAACCAUGCUGGCACCUUGAUCUUGGACUUUGAGUCUCCAGAACUGUGAGAAAUAAAGUUGUUGUUUAAGCCACCUAGUCUCUGAUAUUCUGCUACAGCAGUUUGAGCAGAGUAAUAUAGUUGGCUAUCCAGUUAAACGCCCUAUCACCUACAGCCCCAUCCUCAUUGCCUACUUCCUUCUAGAGAGUGAGCUCCCAUAGAUCUGGCUAAGUGAGUAGCAAGGAAGCAAUGUAAUCUUGCGACCUGAGAACAGCCAUUUAUCCCAGCUGUUCACACUUGAUCUAAGUUUGUCCAACAGAUUCACUCUAGGGGGAAUUUAAAGCAGGGACUUAGAAAUUCUAGUUAGUUUCUGUGAGAUGCCUUAAAAGAGAAAGUAUUUGAAGCCUGGGCUGUGGAACCAUGUGCAUGAAUAUUUUUGGGGAGAAGAAAAAGAAUAA
Long non-coding RNA from Homo sapiens (human), 1360 nucleotides. Ensembl annotates it as GALNT7 divergent transcript. Its record names the gene GALNT7-DT. The record is from Ensembl. Lineage: Eukaryota; Metazoa; Chordata; Mammalia; Primates; Hominidae.